This 269-nucleotide ribosomal RNA is filed under the name uncultured bacterium. Its description in RNAcentral is "partial 16S ribosomal RNA". It matches the Rfam family "Bacterial small subunit ribosomal RNA", at positions 29 to 322 of the family's 1533-position model. The record is from RNAcentral.
AACGAACGCUGGCGGCAGGCUUAACACAUGCAAGUCGAACGGUUGUAGCAAUACAGCAGUGGCAGACGGGUGAGUAACACGUGGGAACCUUCCUAGGGGUACGGAACAACUCAGGGAAACUUGAGCUAAUACCGUAUACGUCCGUGAGGAGAAAGAUUUAUCGCCCUUAGACGGGCCCCGCGUAGGAUUAGGUAGUUGGUGGGGUAAUGGCCUACCAAGCCUACGAUCCUUAGCUGAUCUGAGAGGAUGAUCAGCCACACUGGGACUGA